Molecule: long non-coding RNA, 3361 nt
Organism: Glycine soja
Lineage: Eukaryota; Viridiplantae; Streptophyta; Magnoliopsida; Fabales; Fabaceae
Exons: 4
Source: RefSeq, a predicted model, not a curated record
UUCACUUUCACUCGCGUCUGAAACAAACACUGCCUAAAGCAUUGUUAUAGAAAGUAGACAUUAGAAAGUACUUACAAUACUACUAAAUGAUCCUCAUCGGUGUGAGAUCCAUAGCAGUUUCAGAUUCAGGUUCAUGAACAUUAACAUGUGUUAUAGUUGCUCCAAUUUUAUCGUGUCACCUCGUUAAGAACAAGAAACAAAAAAGAGAGGGUGGGAAAGACGAAUAUGAUCUUCCAUUCCACUUCCAAUUCCUUGAACUCCUAAAUGAUUACAACCAAGUAAAAGUCUCAUCAUUUCUUGGUUUUCCCGAAAUUUAUUUACCUGGGACAUGGGUGGUUCUAGUUUUAUUUGGAUUCGUAUUGCCUUAGAUAAAAUGUUCACGUUUGAACAUAAGGUAUUAUUGUGAACGAUUUUUCAAUGAGUGAUGGGGGAACACGUGGCAGCAUUCCACACUGCUACCAACGCUGUGCAAGCAUUAAAUAGAGGCUUUGAUGUGAACUGCGAUACGAGGUUGCUGUAUUGCAAACGAGUGGCAGGGUCUAGGGUGAUUCAUGUUGAUGAAGAACACGUGAGGGACUUGUGGUUGUUCCCAAUGUUUCAAGUGACAUUGUUCAGAACUCUCAGGAGCAUGUGGGGCGUCGCAGUUCUGGAGUCUGUAGUUAUCAGGAGUCAUUUGACUGCAGAUGGUGGAAUAUUUUAAUCAGAAGGCAAAUAUAUCACAAAGCUUUCCUCUUGGGACAUUUAAUUCUGCGUUUAGCUUCACUGGUUCAAAACACAUUGAUGCUACUGAGACAAAAUCUCUUUCUUCAGAUGGGUUUUAUUUUCCCCUCGCAAAGGUUCAGCUUAUAAACUCCCACUUAAUGUUGCAAGAAAAUGUCGAAAGGGACAUCCCAGUUAUCUACAUAAUGCAGUAGCAAAAUAUCUAUCAUCAGAUUGUCCUUGACCUUGAAUUUUAUUUUGAUAGCUUUAUUGAAAACUUUGGGACACAUGUCAUUACAUCCAUAACUAUUGGUGGUAAGGAUGUUAUUUUUUCUAAACAACACCAUAGUUCACCUUUGUCAACAUUGGAGAUAAAGAACUAUAUUCAAGAAAUUGGAAGCCAGAGGUUCUCUGACAUCAGUAACCAUACAAGUUCACUUCAAACAAAAUCCAAGGAUAAGGCUAGUUUCACUUUGAUUCCGACUCUUUAUACUGAUUUGAUUCUGGUUUUUGAUAACAAGGAAUAUAUUGCUUAUUUUGUAGUUAUAUAGGUUUGCAGGUUGUUGAUUCCUUUUCAUUCAAUAAUCAAGUGAUACACCCUCAACCUGCAUCUGGAACUUAUCUAAGUGGGAAAGAUGUCAGAGUCAUUUUCAGAAGGAGAGGAGGAGAUGAUUUGGAACAAGACCACAGUAUGUGGCUCAGAACAGUCUGUUCUUCCCCAGAUGUCAUUCAGAUGACUUUUUGUCCUAUAACAGAUCUCAUUGAUGAAGUUCCUGGCAAGGAGCAUUUGGCUCACAUUAUUGGUCUCUAUCUUGAAUAUAAACCUCCCAUUGAAGAACUUAGAUAUUUCUUAGAGUUUCAAAUUGCUCACGUUUGGGCUCCUCUUCAUGACAGGACUCCUGGACACCGAAGGAAGGAACCUUUGUGUCCAUCUUUGCAAUUCAGCAUAAUGGGCCAGAAUCUUUAUGUUAGCCAAGAGCAAGGAAAUGAACUUUUUUUUUUGCAUUUUCUUGUUGAGCUUUGAAACUCCUGAUCCUGUUGGAUUCACACUAUUUUUCUGGCAUUAAAACCUAUAUGUAUUGGGCUAAUUUUAGUUCAUCUUAGUACUUAAUUUUCAGUUAUAAACAUUAUUUUGACUCAUGUGGCUGCAUACACUUCAAUAAUGUCCUUUAUUUGAUUGUGAGUCAGUACAUACUAGAUUUUAAAAUCCACCACUUUUUAUAUGCUGCUUUGAACUGUUAAAAUUGGGAUGCAGCUUUUUCAACCAUAAAGAAAAGGCUUUUGCUGGUCAGACUUUAUUUAAUUUUUAAUUCACAGUAGUUUGGAAGCAAUACAAUACUUUUUCUUUACUAUAUGAAGUUAAUGAUAUUUAUGGGGUUCAGGUUAGACAAGGAGGAAAGAUUGGGGGAGGGGAGUGUAGUGUUACAUGAACAAGAGUUAAAAUUCGCUGUAAAGGACUAAUGAAAGGUUAACUACUGACAUUUUCAUAAUCAGUUUAGCAAUUUCUCCUAUAGUUAAUGCCAAAUGUGAACCUUCAUGAGAUUAUUUACCUUAAAAUUCCACUUGUAAAGAGUGUUAUCGAAGAAAUACUAUUAGAAUGCUCUAAAAUAUUAUCUAAAUUGCAUUUAUGCAGAGCAAUUUUACCUUCAUUUUAAGCAAUUUUCCCGCAUCUUUAGGUUUGGUUAUUGAACUCACAUGAUUAUUAGCUACAUCUUUUAUUCGCAAGUCCUCAAAGUGUAGAAGACAGCUAGCAGAUAGCUAAUAAAUUUCAUUUGACUGACUGUUCCUUUUCAUAUGCAGAUCACUGUUGGGCGUUUGCAAGUAACCGGCCUACGUCUGUUUCUAGAAGGGGAAGCAAGCACAAUCGGUUGAUUGUUCAUCUUCAAAACUUAUCAUCCCUUCCAAAGAUCCUUUGGCCAUAUUGGGACACAUACGUAGCCAUUGGUGCUCCUGAAAAUUGCUAUUCAAGAAUACUAAAUGCAUUAAAAAUGAAUUAAAAAAAUAGCAUUUUACCUCUAAUUUUAUGAUUUCUUGUGUGAGAUUCGUAAAUAAUUGAUUUUUGUGUGAAUUUAUACAGUGGAAGCUCCAUUUGGAUAACUAAUGUUGAACUUGUUUGGAUUUUUAGGCUGAAGAAGAGAAGAUUUGAAAAUGUUGCUGAAGGGUUCCCUCAUCGAGUCAGAUUGGCUAAGCGAGGUUUAUCCGCUUAGCGAGGAAGCUAGCUCGCUCAGCGAGAGUGGAACCCUAGAGAAUGUAAAGUUAGAGAGCAGUGCACUAAGUGCAUAGCCAGCCCGCCCAACGAGGCUUUUGUCUUUUCUCGUGCUUAACGCAUCCAAUCUCGCUAAGCGCUCAGUCACUAACUCUUACUCAGCAAGACCUGCUCGCUAAGUGCACAUUCGUAAACUGAAAAACCCAAAAGUCUUUAAAGCUGGAAGAGGAGGGAAAAACCAAGCGUCAAGCAGCGUAGGAAAGAAGGAACAAAGCACCAAGGCUGAAGGAGGACAUUUUUCUUCACACUUUCACUUCACCAUUCCAUUUUCCACCAUUUUUCAUCCUUGUAAAAUGGAGGGCUAAACACUUCAUUGUUAGGGAGUUUUUUCAUUAAGCAUUUUUUAUGUAAAAACUCUAACUAUCUAUUCAAUAUUAUUGCUAGUGUUCUCUGCUU